GAUGAACGCUGGCGGCGUGCCUAAUACAUGCAAGUCGAGCGAACAGAUGAGGAGCUUGCUCCUCUGACGUUAGCGGCGGACGGGUGAGUAACACGUGGAUAACCUACCUAUAAGACUGGGAUAACUUCGGGAAACCGGAGCUAAUACCGGAUAAUAUAUUGAACCGCAUGGUUCAAUAGUGAAAGACGGUUUUGCUGUCACUUAUAGAUGGAUCCGCGCCGCAUUAGCUAGUUGGUAAGGUAACGGCUUACCAAGGCAACGAUGCGUAGCCGACCUGAGAGGGUGAUCGGCCACACUGGAACUGAGACACGGUCCAGACUCCUACGGGAGGCAGCAGUAGGGAAUCUUCCGCAAUGGGCGAAAGCCUGACGGAGCAACGCCGCGUGAGUGAUGAAGGGCUUCGGAUCGUAAAACUCUGUUAUUAGGGAAGAACAAAUGUGUAAGUAACUAUGCACGUCUUGACGGUACCUAAUCAGAAAGCCACGGCUAACUACGU
This 496-nucleotide ribosomal RNA is filed under the name uncultured bacterium. RNAcentral describes it as "partial 16S ribosomal RNA". It matches the Rfam family "Bacterial small subunit ribosomal RNA", at positions 28 to 506 of the family's 1533-position model. The record is from RNAcentral.